This is a long non-coding RNA of Cavia porcellus (domestic guinea pig), 5719 nucleotides long. RefSeq lists it as uncharacterized. The record is from RefSeq and is a predicted model, not a curated record. NCBI's taxonomy places the organism in Eukaryota, Metazoa, Chordata, Mammalia, Rodentia, Caviidae. The transcript has 2 exons.
CCACCCACCAAUCCAUCCAUCCAUCCAUCCACCCGUCUACUCAUUCAUUGGUGAAUACAGCCACCCAUCCAUCCAUCUCUGCACCCAUCGAUUCACACACCCACACACCCAUGCACCCAUCAUCCAUCCAUCCAUCCAUCCAUCCAUCCAUCCAUCCACCCAUCCAGUCUGUCACUUUCUGUUGCACAGAGACAGUGGAGUGGAUGAAAAUUUUGAAAGUGAAAUCAGUAGGCCUUGGAGGCUGUUUGUGUGUGAUAUUUGAUUUCCAGAAGAGCUGCCCUCUUGGUCAGAAGCUGGGGCAGCCUCUCCUUAGCAGGGCGGUCUGCAGAGAGGCCGCGGUCCAGUGGUGGCACUGCUCACUGUGUCGUCUUUGGAGUCUUUGUGGCCUGUCUGCAGUGCUCUCCGUGGCUGGGCAAGCUCACUAUGUGCCCGUGUCUUUUCUGUCUCCCUCUGAGAGUGCAUGUUUUCUUUUUUUCCCUCUGCAGUGUUCCUUUUCUUGGGUUUUCUGUCCAAUUACUGAGCUUUGAGUGCAGAGAUUUGUUCCCGUGGGUGGCUUGGAGUUUAGGACUGCAGCCCACCAUUCAACUUCAGUCCUUAAACUAAAAAGCCCAGCUCUGCACAUGUAGAUAAAACACAUUAUCUUUCAAAAAGAUUGGAAUAAAAAAACCCCACGAAUGCACGGGGCGAGUAUCUAGGCAACUGGGAACCCGGCUCGGCAUAGGCUGGAGACGGAGAUAAUCAGAUUCCUUUUUAGUGGUGCUGGCCUGGAACCUGGCGGCACGGCCCGGGCACAAACGCUCCUUUAUUCCGGGCAGUGUUUGUGUGCUGACCGUGCCAACGUCGUUCUAGUGGACCGCGGUGGAUGGGGCGGCGGGGUCCCAGCGCCUCUGCUCGCGCCAGGGAGCAGACUGAGAACGCCAGAGCCACACAGAAGCCUCUUGUCAGAUGGGCGCCAUGAGGCGGAGACGGGGAGCCCCUGCAGGGUGCGGGCAGUGGCAGAGUGACCAGCAGCGCGUCCUUCCCAGGACCUGGCAGCCUCCAAGCCCAGUGAAGCCGGGCGAGGGAGAAGGGCAGGCAGGCAGCUGGAGGAUGGGGAAGGGGCCCAGGAGCAGGAGCCAGCGAGAAGCUGGAGGGGAAGGGGGGUCCUGAGCAGUGCAGUGAAGGUCCUGAGGGGCGCGUUUCCUGGGGCUCGGGUUCUGGUUCAUGGGGUGCUGCUGUGACAGAUCCAGUGUGUCCUGUAAGUGUGGAAGUCGGAGAAUCUUGCAGGGCUGAGACGGGUGUCGGGAGGGCUGCGGGGCGCUUUCCAGUUCCAGAAGCCGUCCGCAUCCCUCGGCUCACGGCCCUAUCUGUGGCUGCACUGCUGCAACCUCGGUCCCCUCCACCCUCCUCUGAGCCUGACGUCCUGCCUGCUGCACGUACCCUGUGGUCACCCUGGACCUGGUCACUUCUCUGUCUCUCUCAAGGAUGCGAACUUCUCGACACCGGCGAAGCCCCUUUCUCUGCCUCAGGCAGCCCAGGCCCAGGUUCUGAGAUGGGGAUGCAGAUGCCGGGGGUGGUGUGCAUCGUUCUGCGAACCGCUGGGUCUCACAGGGGUUAACGCCUCUGACACCCACAGGAGCUGAUGGGGCUCGUCCCAGGGCCCAGGUCUGCAGAGAGAAUAAAAAAUGUUUGCAGGUCUUUGAUGCCAGGGAGUGGCAGGGCCAGUGUUCACAGAGCGCACCUGUGACCGGGAGUGCUGGUAGGGCCAGGGGCACCAGAUGCCCAGGAAUGCAGGGCGGGGUCUGCCACAGGCAUCCCAGCGAGGUGACGUCCCUGUCCUGGCCGCGCGAGUGCCGUUGUGAGGUCCCUGCAGCGACUCUGAUGCGACACACAAGCCUCUGCUGUGGGGACUACGGCCACUGCGGAUGCCGCUGCAGGAUUCGGGGCACAUUAAUCAUCAGAAGAAAUGCUUAGCUUAGGAGGAGGCAAACAGGAAUAGAGAGAGGGGUGUGUAAGUGUGCGUACGUGCAGCGGGGCCCUGUGGCCCUGUGGCCUGGCUCACUUUCAGGAGACACCAGUGCAGUCAGCGCAGACCCUCACCUACCCAUCCGUGGUAGCUCAGGACAGCACGCUGCUCCAAGCACCCUCAGCUCUGUUAGGCCCGAGGUCCCCCAGUGGCUGCUCUAUCCUCUGAGCAAACUCCCCCUCUGCACUGUGACACAAAGCAUCCAGCUUCUCUCCUCCUCAGGCCUCUUCUCUCUCCUUCCACACUCUACUACCCCAGGAUCUUUGCACCUGCUGCCCUUUGUAUGGGCUUGUUCUUGAAGGGAACAGUAGAUUGUCAUCCCAAAGAGGCCCGACUCUCGUGACCCUGGAAUAGACUCCCUAGCUCAGUGCCCAUGUUGCACAGGGAUGUGGAGGAGGUCAGUGACCCUCGGCGUCGGGGCAGGGAGUGUCCACCACCUCCUCCUAUUCACUAGCAAACAGCAGAGUUUGACCUGACCCAUGGCGCUCAGUACAGGGCAGUGCGCUGUUUGGGACAGACGCUGGAGCAGAAUUCAAAUCCUGACACCAGUGCUCAGGAGCCGGACAUAGUGUCUUGGGACUCUUGUUUCCCUGCUUGUGGUGAUUGUGUGGGGGUUGCCUGGCCUGGACGACAGCACGGAGCUGGCCAUGGUCUCACUGUCUCCCUCUCUCCUUCCUGCUGCCUCUGUGUGUCCUGACCUCCUCUGCUGGUUUUCUUUGCAAGUUGCUGGGACCUGGGAUGCACUGCCUCUGUCCCCACAGCCUGCACCCCUAAACCCGGACAGUGGCGGGAGGACCUUUGCUGGGGAGAACAGUGCGGGUGUCAGCGUGCCCCUGGGGUCGUCUUCAGGAGGAGCCGUUCAGACGGCUUUGAAGGCUUGUGAUUGAGCGUUUCUUCUUUGACUUGUUUUGUUUAAAACUUAAAAAACCAAACACCAACACCUAACCAAACCGUGCCUGCUUGCUUUUCUGGAGUGGCACAGGUGAGGCUUCCGUGCCCGUCGGCCGCCGGCCCCUCUGUGGCACCGUGUUCGAGGGGCAGCUGGGUGCGACCCUGUCGGUUACCCUCGGUGCUGGGCCUGAGCCUGUGUGCCCCGCUCUGGCGGUGGUGAGGCUGGGGGCCUCUCGGUGCCCAUGAGGAUAGAGAGAGCCACCCUGCUGGCCACCUGUGACCAUCUCAUGGCUGGACACAGUACCCAGCACCUGCAGCUGAGGGGAGAAGGCCCAGCUGGUUUGGGGUGGCCAGUGGCUCUGCCACCCCGUCUUCUCAGGGAGCCGAGUCAGCUUCCUCGAGCUGCUGCAGGAAGUUGCCACAAGACGCGGGGAGUCGGGGACUGAGAUGUCAGAGGGACCUCCGCCCCCUGAGACGCAGGGGGCUCCUUCCUGCUCUUCCAGCGUCCAGCGGGGCCAGGGGCUCCUUAGCUUGUGGUUACCUCGAAACCAUCUCUACACCAUGCUCUGCUGCAGACCGUGGCACUCAGGACUGGUGACCGGGCAUGGUGACCGGGACGCUGUCCAGCUUGGCUGCCCUUGGAAGUUAUUUUGGUGGAGCCCUGACUUCAGACUCGGGAGACCCACACACAUCUCCCUCACUCAAAUAAAUUUGUCAUUAUGACUCCUGGCAGACACCACACAAGGCAAGCCACACACAGCAAGCCCGGAGAGUCCAGAAUGAGCCAAAUUUGCAUCUGUCUUGUGGUGUCUGCAGACGAGGACGCUCCCCUCCACACACAUGGUGUCGCCUGUCACCAGGAGCCCACCUUGCUCCCGGCUGAAAGGAGCAAUCAAACUGUCAAGGACAGCGUUUGUAUGUGCGUGUACUUUACAGAUGGCCAGAAAUAACCACUUUGUCGGUGGAGAUACAUCGUGCCCUCAUCAAGGCCACUGGGGGUACUAAUGGCAGAGCCGGGACCCGACCCUCACCUGGCCGCUGCCGGGCCUCCCAGCGCGUGGUGCCAGGGGCACGGUUAGCAAACCUGUAACUGGGUUUGGAUGUUUCGCUGCUUCCUAGUGGACAUUCAGAAAAACAACAGUCCAGCAGGGCUGCUUUGUGCAAGGUGGACCGAGGCCAGCUAGGUGGGAAGGGAGGGGAGGCCAUUAGGAGUGUGGCUCGGUGGGCCUGCGUCUCCCUGGGGCGACCCCGGUGACAUCUGAUUUCCGCAGGGGAAAAGGAAGCACAGACCCCGCUAAGCAGGUUCGGGGAGGAGACUGUGGUCCUCAGCCGGAGGCGCAGAGUGGGCAAAUGUGGGCACCACUGUGGCAGGGAUGAGACCUGACAGCCUUUUAAAGGCUCUGUCAACGCCAUUAAUAUUUAUGGCCUCGCUGCAAAGACAGCUGCUGGGCGGCGCCUCCACCCACGGCUGCUGCUCUGGGGUUGUUCGGCUCCGCUGGGUGACGGCAUGAGAGGGACGAUGGGAAAGGAUUCGUGGCUGUGUUUUGCACCUCCUUAAAGGUGGUUAGAUAACUAGGACGUGUUUUCCAGAUGGUCAUUUUCUUAAGAAAACAAAACAGAGAAUCCCUGGCUGUUGACAGCUGAGCCAGGAUGAUGUUCACUGCCACUCAGAGCAGUGAAUAUGGAAGCUGUGCCUGGAUGUCUGCACUUCCAGCUGCCUAGCCAAAGCCAGUGUUACAAAUGGGGACCAACAAAUGGCCUGGCCAGCCCGUGACCGUCCAGGGAGGAAAGGCCCACCCUGUAGAAUGGGUAGAGACGUGUGCCUGUGGGAAAACUCAGUCUGCUUCACCCUUUACUUAACCUGGGUGCCCUUCAGCAGGCCCUGCCUCAGUUUUCCCAUCUGUACAAAGGGUUUUCUUGCAUCCUACUGUAUAGCCGUAUCCAUCAUUGUCAAGAUGAAAUAAAGCAAUAAACACACAGUGCUUGCUACAGAAAUAUGCAUUGCACACUGACCAUUUGCUUCCAUUUAAUUUUUUCUCAAAAAAAGGUAAUAGUUAAGAGUCGCAGUAAAAAUCAAAGUAUUUAAUAACGGGGUGGCAUGUCCACUAACCAGCUGGAGUAGAUACAGCUGGUGAAUGGUGAUUACAUCCUCAGCUGUGUGUCAGCCCACAAGGAAAUACUCCGAUUGGCUGUUUUUACUUGGCUUGGUGCAGAGCCCAGCAAACCGUUUUCUAAAUGGCUUUGAUCUCACAAAUGAUCAAGAUGGCAUUUUUCUGAGGGCCUUUUAAGGAUUCUUUUCCAAGGGCGAGCAUCGUGGAAGCAGUCCCAGCCAUGCCCACUAGAUGGCGCUGGGAGACCGGUUUAUGGCAUCCUUCGCCCUGCCCGCGGGCUUCCUGAACGCGUGCCCUGCCCUUUUUUCUGCCAAUUAACUGAUCGCUGCAUGGGGCGCUUUGAGUCCAGGAAUUCCCGGCUUCCCCCUGAGCUGGAGGAGAGCAAGGCUCCUCCCGCAGCCUCCGCAGGGCCCCGACGGUACCUGGAGAGGUGUGGCCUCCCUCAGUGGGGUCAGCGCCUGCAGCUAGAUGGAAUUGUGCCUGGAAAUUUUUAAUGCUUCUAUUUACAAUGAUGGAUGCCCACUCGAGGGUUUUAAAAGAGCCGAGGGAUAAAUUGCAGAACCAUCACCCACACAUCUGACUAGGUCCAUGCAGUGUCCAGAGCAGGUGGACGUCACACUGCAUAGCCGUGAGGUCCUACUCUACGUGUCAAUUUUUUUUAAAGGUUCGCACUUAAUUAUAUUUAAUAAAAGACAAAGGAUCCGAUGUGAAA